CGCGACCUCUGCACAUGACUUGUUUUCACAGUGCGGCUCUUGUGCAGAACUCACGCGUUCCGGCUGAAAGGAGUUUAUGGAUGACAAGAGGUCUGUCCACAGGACACAGGACUGUACACGCUGCAGAACGGACAGCUUAUCUGCAUUCAGCAAGUGCAUGUCCCAGAACACCUCAAACAGGAUUAGAAAUCAUCCUUGAACUAAAGUUAUGGGGACACGAAAGGUUUUGGUGACAGGAUGCUCCUCUGGAAUUGGUUUGGCGCUGGCUGUCCGUCUUGCAAAGGAUAAAUUAAGGCGCUUCAAAGUUGUGGCCACUAUGAGGGACCUGGAUAAGAGAGAAGCUCUGGAGAGAGCAGCUGGAGAAUCCCUCAACAGAUCCCUGGAGAUCCGACAGCUGGAUGCCACCUGUGAGGACUCACUAUCAGAGAGUGUGUGAACAGCUUGCCAAAUCGACAAGUGGAUGUGUUAGGUGACAUUAAGAGUUUCUUUUCCAAUUAAAAUUCCCUUAAUUCACUCCAUCUUUGUUUCUGAGCAAUGCAGCUUCAUAGCGGUAUGACCAAAAAUGUAGUGUCUUUUGACUUGACUAAAAGCUUUUCAAUAAAAGUAGUAAGUUUUUAUACCACAUUUGUGC
This is a long non-coding RNA of Sinocyclocheilus grahami, 631 nucleotides long. RefSeq lists it as uncharacterized. The record is from RefSeq and is a predicted model, not a curated record. NCBI's taxonomy places the organism in Eukaryota, Metazoa, Chordata, Actinopteri, Cypriniformes, Cyprinidae. The transcript is spliced from 3 exons.